This 431-nucleotide unclassified non-coding RNA is filed under the name plant metagenome. RNAcentral's name for it is "partial contains 5.8S ribosomal RNA, internal transcribed spacer 2, and large subunit ribosomal RNA". The stretch from base 1 to 102 matches the Rfam family "5.8S ribosomal RNA", at positions 50 to 154 of the family's 154-position model. The record is from RNAcentral.
AAACUGCGAUAAGUAGUGUGAAUUGCAUUUAGUGAAUCAUCGAAUCUUUGAACGCACCCUGCACUCACUGGUAUUCCGGUGAGUAUGCCUGUUUCAGUAUCAUUGAAAACACACAAUCAAAACAUUUUCUUUGGUUUGAUUGGCUUUGGGUCUAUCAAAAAGUUUGGCUUGUUUCUUACAAGCCAAGCGGCCUGAAAUAUAUUGUCUGGCUAAUUGCAUCGUUGAUGAUCGCUAUUAGACUUUGGCUUUUUUAAAUGAACUGGAGGUUGAUUAACCAGUUUUAGCUUUAGUCAAAUGGUCAUUGUAAAAAAAAUCUCGAUCUUGGCUAGGUGUUUAUAGCCGAAAAUUUUUUUUUGGCUAUAACCGAAACCAAUAUAAUCACAUUUAGUUAUCGAUCUGAAAUCAGGUGGGACUACCCGCUGAACUUAAGC